UCCUACGGGAGGCUGCAGUGGGGAAUUUUGGACAAUGGGCGCAAGCCUGAUCCAGCCAUGCCGCGUGAGUGAAGAAGGCCUUCGGGUUGUAAAGCUCUUUCGGCCGGGAAGAAAUCGGCGACUCUAACAUAGUCGCUGGAUGACGGUACCGGACUAAGAAGCACCGGCUAACUACGUGCCAGCAGCCGCGGUAAUACGUAGGGUGCGAGCGUUAAUCGGAAUGACUGGGCGUAAAGCGUGCGCAGGCGGUUUUGUAAGACAGGUGUGAAAUCCCCGGGCUUAACCUGGGAACUGCGUUUGUGACUGCAAGGCUAGAGUACGGCAGAGGGGGGUGGAAUUCCUGGAGUAGCAGUGAAAUGCGUAGAGAUCAGGAGGAACACCGAUGGCGAAGGCAGCCCCCUGGGCCUGUACUGACGCUCAUGCACGAAAGCGUGGGGAGCAAACAGGAUUAGAUACCCCAGUAGUCA
Molecule: ribosomal RNA, 467 nt
Filed under: uncultured bacterium
Lineage: Bacteria
Description: bacterial SSU rRNA
Rfam family: Bacterial small subunit ribosomal RNA
Source: RNAcentral